This 759-nucleotide ribosomal RNA is filed under the name uncultured Neisseriaceae bacterium. RNAcentral describes it as "bacterial SSU rRNA". It matches the Rfam family "Bacterial small subunit ribosomal RNA", at positions 28 to 776 of the family's 1533-position model. The record is from RNAcentral. Lineage: Bacteria; Pseudomonadati; Pseudomonadota; Betaproteobacteria; Neisseriales; Neisseriaceae.
AUUGAACGCUGGCGGCAUGCUUUACACAUGCAAGUCGGACGGCAGCGGGGUAGUGCUUGCACUACUGCCGGCGAGUGGCGAACGGGUGAGUAAUAUAUUGGAACGUACCGAGUAAUGGGGGAUAACCAAUCGAAAGAUUGGCUAAUACCGCAUAUGCUCUGAGGAGGAAAGCAGGGGACCUUCGGGCCUUGCGUUAUUCGAGCGGCCAAUAUCUGAUUAGCUAGUUGGUGGGGUAAAGGCCUACCAAGGCGACGAUCAGUAGCGGGUCUGAGAGGAUGAUCCGCCACACUGGGACUGAGACACGGCCCAGACUCCUACGGGAGGCAGCAGUGGGGAAUUUUGGACAAUGGGCGCAAGCCUGAUCCAGCCAUGCCGCGUGUCUGAAGAAGGCCUUCGGGUUGUAAAGGACUUUUGUUAGGGAAGAAAAAGGAGCGGUUAAUACCCGUUUCUGCUGACGGUACCUAAAGAAUAAGCACCGGCUAACUACGUGCCAGCAGCCGCGGUAAUACGUAGGGUGCGAGCGUUAAUCGGAAUUACUGGGCGUAAAGCGAGCGCAGACGGUUACUUAAGCAGGAUGUGAAAUCCCCGGGCUCAACCUGGGAACUGCGUUCUGAACUGGGUAGCUAGAGUAUGUCAGAGGGGGGUAGAAUUCCACGUGUAGCAGUGAAAUGCGUAGAGAUGUGGAGGAAUACCGAUGGCGAAGGCAGCCCCCUGGGAUAAUACUGACGUUCAUGCUCGAAAGCGUGGGUAGCAAACAGG